RNAcentral lists this ribosomal RNA (786 nucleotides) under uncultured bacterium. RNAcentral's name for it is "bacterial SSU rRNA". It matches the Rfam family "Bacterial small subunit ribosomal RNA", at positions 28 to 826 of the family's 1533-position model. The record is from RNAcentral.
AACAACGCUGGCGGCAGGCUUAACCACUGCAUUAUCGAACGAGAAGCUUGGCUUCCCGCCAAGUUGACAGUGGCAGACAGGGUGAGUAACUGCGUGGGAACGUACCCUCUUGGUUCGGAACAACUCCGGGAAACUGGAGCUAAUACCGGAUGUGCCCUUCGGGGGAAAGAUUUAUCGCCAAGGGAUCGGCCUGCGUCGGAUUAGCUUGUUGGUGGGGUAACGGCCUACCAAGGCUAUGAUCCGUAGCUGGUCUGAGAGGAUGAUCAGCCACACUGGGACUGAGACACGGCCAGACUCCUACGGGAGGCAGCAGUGGGGAAUAUUGGACAAUGGGACGCAAGCCUGAUCCAGACCAUGCCGCAGUGAGUGAUGAAGGCCCUAGGGUUGUAAAGCUCUUUCGCCAGGGACGAUAAUGACGGUACCUGGAUAAGAAGCCCCGGCUAACUUCGUGCCAGCAGCCGCGGUAAUACGAAGGGGGCUAGCGUUGUUCGGAAUUACAUGGGCGUAAAGCGCAUGCAAGAGCGGAUCGCUAAAUCGGGGGUGAAAGCCCGAGGCUCAAACUCGGAACUGACUUCCGAUACUGGACGACACUCAGAGUCCCGGGAGAGGUGCAGUGGAACUCCCGAAGUGUAGAGGUGAACUUCCGAUACAUAUUCCGGAAGAACACCAGGUGGCAUGAAGGCGGAUCACUGGCCCCGGUACUUGACAGCUGACAUGCAAAAGCGUGGGGACCAACAGGAUUAAAUACCUGCUAAUCACGCGUAAACGAUGGAUGCUAGACGUCAA